CGACGUGAGGGAACCUGCCUUCCAGAGGGGGACAACAGUUGGAAACGACUGCUAAUACCGCAUGAUGCGUUGGAGCCGCAUGACUCCGACGUCAAAGAUUUAUCGCUGGAAGAUGGCCUCGCGUCUGAUUAGCUAGUUGGUGAGGUAACGGCCCACCAAGGCGACGAUCAGUGGCCGGACUGAGAGGUUGGCCGGCCACAUUGGGACUGAGAUACGGCCCAGACUCCUACGGGAGGCAGCAG
This 242-nucleotide ribosomal RNA is filed under the name uncultured bacterium. Its description in RNAcentral is "partial 16S ribosomal RNA". It matches the Rfam family "Bacterial small subunit ribosomal RNA", at positions 113 to 354 of the family's 1533-position model. The record is from RNAcentral.